Long non-coding RNA from Lynx canadensis (Canada lynx), 451 nucleotides. RefSeq lists it as uncharacterized. The transcript has 3 exons. NCBI's taxonomy places the organism in Eukaryota, Metazoa, Chordata, Mammalia, Carnivora, Felidae. The record is from RefSeq and is a predicted model, not a curated record.
UAUGUUGAACACUGUGAGGCGUUACAUACAUCCAAGUAUUUAUCUUGUGUUCCCUCCGUGGUACUAUUUAUAUGAUAUUUAGAAGUGUCCGAACACUGACAGUUUUCUGACGUUGUUGCUAACUUUCCAUUACAAGUACUCAGAGUUGGUUUGUUCCGUAAUGAUGAAGUGAACAAUCUUUUUUGCAGGUGUCAUGGUAGAAAAAGUUGUUUCCAUUAACCCUGAUUUCAUAACGUGUUUUCCAGAUCCUUGUCAAGACCUCAGGAUGAACUUAGCAGCAGUCAUGAAUAGGGGCGGAUAUCCUGUUGAUACGCAGGUGUCCUGUAAAGAAAUAGUGUGUUCCCUGACAACAAUGGUCUUGAUCUUGGAGUACUGCAAGCAUUCAGGUUCCUUCAAGAUCCUGAAGCACUUAACAGUGGUCGGUAAUGGGGGACAUUUCUUGUGUCCAGGU